RNAcentral lists this small RNA (214 nucleotides) under Mytilus galloprovincialis (Mediterranean mussel). Lineage: Eukaryota; Metazoa; Mollusca; Bivalvia; Mytilida; Mytilidae. The record is from RNAcentral.
GAAAGCAAAAUCGAGAAAUUGAAAAAUCGGGAAAUCGGGAAAUCGAGAAAUCGAGAGAAAGCAAAAACGCAAAAACAGGAAAGCGAAAACACAAAUUUAAAGCGAAAACACAAAAACGAAAACGCGAAAUGAAUUUCUUGAUUUCGCGUUUUUGCUUUCUCGAUUUCCCGAUUUCCCAAUUUCUCGAUUUCCCGAUUUCCCGAUUUCCCGAUUU